GACGAACGCUGGCGGCGUGCUUAACACAUGCAAGUCGAACGGAAAGGCCCUGCUUUUGUGGGGUGCUCGAGUGGCGAACGGGUGAGUAACACGUGAGUAACCUGCCCUUGACUUUGGGAUAACUUCAGGAAACUGGGGCUAAUACCGUAUAGGAGCUCCUGCUGCAUGGUGGGGGUUGGAAAGUUUCGGCGGUUGGGGAUGGACUCGCGGCUUACCAGCUUGUUGGUGGGGUAGUGGCUUACCAAGGCUUUGACGGGUAGCCGGCCUGAGAGGGUGACCGGCCACAUUGGGACUGAGAUACGGCCCAGACUCCUACGGGAGGCAGCAGUGGGGAAUAUUGCACAAUGGGCGGAAGCCUGAUGCAGCAACGCCGCGUGCGGGAUGACGGCCUUCGGGUUGUAAACCGCUUUCGCCUGUGACGAAGCGUGAGUGACGGUAAUGGGUAAAGAAGCACCGGCUAACUACGUG
Molecule: ribosomal RNA, 468 nt
Filed under: uncultured bacterium
Lineage: Bacteria
Description: partial 16S ribosomal RNA
Rfam family: Bacterial small subunit ribosomal RNA
Source: RNAcentral